This 669-nucleotide long non-coding RNA is filed under the name Mytilus galloprovincialis (Mediterranean mussel). Lineage: Eukaryota; Metazoa; Mollusca; Bivalvia; Mytilida; Mytilidae. The record is from RNAcentral.
UUUAAUCACUUCAAAAUUGCCAAUAUUGAUGCUGCAAAAUUUUGUAUCCUCAAAACUUGACAAUCAAUGAAAAUAAAGAAAUCCAGAAUACUAGGAAUUCCUUGCUUACUGCUACAAAGAAGAGGACCAGACUAUGAUCGACUAUAGGGACCAUUUAAGGACUUUUUAAAAAACAUAAUGUUUUGACCAAAAGUAUGACCUUUGUAGACACUUUUUUUUAUGGUGUCCUAAUAUUUAAAUAAUUUGAGCAAAUGCUUAUUAUUAAAAAUUUCUAAUUACAUGAAUUAAAUUGAGAAUGGACAUAGGAAAAAGGGGAGUAGGUACAUGUAGUUAACAUAGCAAGUUUAGGAAAAAAACAGACGAGAGUAGCAUAUUUUGUAAUUUCAUUUAAUUUCGAAAUCAGGAAGGUCUAGAUUGCUUCAUCCCACAACCAAUAAUUGUUAUAAUUUGCCCAAAUUAGGGUAUAUGUUAAGCACGCCUAUUUUAGAGGGCCAGUAUGAGCUUUACUCAUAAAUUCAAAUAGCCUGAAAAAAAAUCGUGUAAUUAAAUUAGUUUUUCUAGUUCUUUAAAAAUGUCAGUAAUCUUUCCAGGAGUGUUAUGUUUCUCUAUUGUUUUUAAAUAUUGUUAUAUCAGAAUUAAUUUUAUAAUAUAAUGAAUUGUAUAGAAGGG